RNAcentral lists this unclassified non-coding RNA (310 nucleotides) under plant metagenome. Its description in RNAcentral is "partial contains 5.8S ribosomal RNA, internal transcribed spacer 2, and large subunit ribosomal RNA". The stretch from base 1 to 105 matches the Rfam family "5.8S ribosomal RNA", at positions 50 to 154 of the family's 154-position model. The record is from RNAcentral.
GAAAUGCGAUAAGUAGUGUGAAUUGCAGAAUUCAGUGAAUCAUCGAAUCUUUGAACGCACAUUGCGCCCCUUGGUAUUCCAUGGGGCAUGCCUGUUCGAGCGUCAUUUGUACCCUCAAGCUCUGCUUGGUGUUGGGUGUUUGUCCCCGUCUCCGCGCGUGGACUCGCCCCAAAGUGAUUGGCAGCCGGCGUACUGGUCCCGGAGCGCAGCACAUGUCGCACAAACGAGUGCCUUGGUACGGCGGCGUCCAUAAGCCCCUCUCUCACGCUCUUGACCUCGGAUCAGGUAGGGAUACCCGCUGAACUUAAGC